RNAcentral lists this ribosomal RNA (429 nucleotides) under Lactobacillus sp. RNAcentral describes it as "bacterial SSU rRNA". It matches the Rfam family "Bacterial small subunit ribosomal RNA", at positions 355 to 776 of the family's 1533-position model. The record is from RNAcentral. Lineage: Bacteria; Bacillati; Bacillota; Bacilli; Lactobacillales; Lactobacillaceae.
UAGGGAAUCUUCCACAAUGGGCGAAAGCCUGAUGGAGCAACGCCGCGUGGGUGAAGAAGGUCUUCGGAUCGUAAAACCCUGUUGUUAGAGAAGAAAGUGCGUGAGAGUAACUGUUCACGUUUCGACGGUAUCCAACCAGAAAGCCACGGCUAACUACGUGCCAGCAGCCGCGGUAAUACGUAGGUGGCAAGCGUUAUCCGGAUUUAUUGGGCGUAAAGGGAACGCAGGCGGUCUUUUAAGUCUGAUGUGAAAGCCUUCGGCUUAACCGGAGUAGUGCAUUGGAAACUGGGAGACUUGAGUGCAGAAGAGGAGAGUGGAACUCCAUGUGUAGCGGUGAAAUGCGUAGAUAUAUGGAAGAACACCAGUGGCGAAAGCGGCUCUCUGGUCUGUAACUGACGCUGAGGUUCGAAAGCGUGGGUAGCAAACAGG